UAAGACCAAUAAGAUUAUCCUUACAUCAUCUGAAUGCAACUCAGAAAUUUUAAUUAAACUAAAGUCUC
RNAcentral lists this transfer RNA (68 nucleotides) under Laudakia sacra. Its description in RNAcentral is "tRNA-Ala". Lineage: Eukaryota; Metazoa; Chordata; Lepidosauria; Squamata; Agamidae. The record is from RNAcentral.